GACGAACGCUGGCGGCGUGCUUAACACAUGCAAGUCGAACGGAAAGGCCCUGCUUUUGUGGGGUGCUCGAGUGGCGAACGGGUGAGUAACACGUGAGUAACCUGCCCUUGUCUUUGGGAUAACUUCAGGAAACUGGGGCUAAUACCGGAUAGGAGCUCCUGCUGCAUGGUGGGGGUUGGAAAGUUUCGGCGGUUGGGGAUGGACUCGCGGCUUAUCAGCUUGUUGGUGGGGUAGUGGCUUACCAAGGCUUUGACGGGUAGCCGGCCUGAGAGGGUGACCGGCCACAUUGGGACUGAGAUACGGCCCAGACUCCUACGGGAGGCAGCAGUGGGGAAUAUUGCACAAUGGGCGGAAGCCUGAUGCAGCAACGCCGCGUGCGGGAUGACGGCCUUCGGGUUGUAAACCGCUUUCGCCUGUGACGAAGCGUGAGUGACGGUAAUGGGUAAAGAAGCACCGGCUAACUACGU
Molecule: ribosomal RNA, 467 nt
Filed under: uncultured bacterium
Lineage: Bacteria
Description: partial 16S ribosomal RNA
Rfam family: Bacterial small subunit ribosomal RNA
Source: RNAcentral